GGGAAUGUGGCUUAGUGGUAGAGUGCUUGCCUAGCAUGCAUGAAGCCCUAGGUUUAAUUCCUCAGUACCA
RNAcentral lists this transfer RNA (70 nucleotides) under Dipodomys ordii (Ord's kangaroo rat). It matches the Rfam family "tRNA". From Rfam's summary of the family: Transfer RNA (tRNA) molecules are approximately 80 nucleotides in length. Their secondary structure includes four short double-helical elements and three loops (D, anti-codon, and T loops). Further hydrogen bonds mediate the characteristic L-shaped molecular structure. tRNAs have two regions of fundamental functional importance: the anti-codon, which is responsible for specific mRNA codon recognition, and the 3' end, to which the tRNAs corresponding amino acid is attached (by aminoacyl-tRNA synthetases). tRNAs cope with the degeneracy of the genetic code in two manners: having more than one tRNA (with a specific anti-codon) for a particular amino acid; and 'wobble' base-pairing, i.e. permitting non-standard base-pairing at the 3rd anti-codon position. The record is from Rfam by way of RNAcentral. Lineage: Eukaryota; Metazoa; Chordata; Mammalia; Rodentia; Heteromyidae.